This 497-nucleotide ribosomal RNA is filed under the name uncultured bacterium. Its description in RNAcentral is "partial 16S ribosomal RNA". It matches the Rfam family "Bacterial small subunit ribosomal RNA", at positions 28 to 507 of the family's 1533-position model. The record is from RNAcentral.
GAUGAACGCUGGCGGCGUGCCUAAUACAUGCAAGUCGAGCGAACAGAUGAGGAGCUUGCUCCUCUGACGUUAGCGGCGGACGGGUGAGUAACACGUGGAUAACCUACCUAUAAGACUGGGAUAACUUCGGGAAACCGGAGCUAAUACCGGAUAAUAUAUUGAACCGCAUGGUUCAAUAGUGAAAGACGGUUUUGCUGUCACUUUUAGAUGGAUCCGCGCCGCAUUAGCUAGUUGGUAAGGUAACGGCUUACCAAGGCAACGAUGCGUAGCCGACCUGAGAGGGUGAUCGGCCACACUGGAACUGAGACACGGUCCAGACUCCUACGGGAGGCAGCAGUAGGGAAUCUUCCGCAAUGGGCGAAAGCCUGACGGAGCAACGCCGCGUGAGUGAUGAAGGUCUUCGGAUCGUAAAACUCUGUUAUUAGGGAAGAACAAAUGUGUAAGUAACUAUGCACGUCUUGACGGUACCUAAUCAGAAAGCCACGGCUAACUACGUG